This 918-nucleotide ribosomal RNA is filed under the name uncultured bacterium. Its description in RNAcentral is "bacterial SSU rRNA". It matches the Rfam family "Bacterial small subunit ribosomal RNA", at positions 8 to 916 of the family's 1533-position model. The record is from RNAcentral.
AGAGUUUGAUCCUGGCUCAGGAUGAACGCUAGCUACAGGCUUAACACAUGCAAGUCGAGGGGAAACGACAUCGAAAGCUUGCUUUUGAUGGGCGUCGACCGGCGCACGGGUGAGUAACGCGUAUCCAACCUGCCCACCACUUGGGGAUAACCUUGCGAAAGUAAGACUAAUACCCAAUGACGUCUCUAGAAGACAUCUGAAAGAGAUUAAAGAUUUAUCGGUGAUGGAUGGGGAUGCGUCUGAUUAGCUUGUUGGCGGGGUAACGGCCCACCAAGGCAACGAUCAGUAGGGGUUCUGAGAGGAAGGUCCCCCACAUUGGAACUGAGACACGGUCCAAACUCCUACGGGAGGCAGCAGUGAGGAAUAUUGGUCAAUGGGCGAGAGCCUGAACCAGCCAAGUAGCGUGCAGGAUGACGGCCCUAUGGGUUGUAAACUGCUUUUAUAAGGGAAUAAAGUGAGUCUCGUGAGACUUUUUGCAUGUACCUUAUGAAUAAGGACCGGCUAAUUCCGUGCCAGCAGCCGCGGUAAUACGGAAGGUCCGGGCGUUAUCCGGAUUUAUUGGGUUUAAAGGGAGCGCAGGCGGACCUUUAAGUCAGCUGUGAAAUACGGCGGCUCAACCGUCGAACUGCAGUUGAUACUGGAGGUCUUGAGUGCACACAGGGAUACUGGAAUUCAUGGUGUAGCGGUGAAAUGCUCAGAUAUCAUGAAGAACUCCGAUCGCGAAGGCAGGUAUCCGGGGUGCAACUGACGCUGAUGCUCGAAAGUGCGGGUAUCAAACAGGAUUAGAUACCCUGGUAGUCCGCACAGUAAACGAUGAAUACUCGCGAUUUGCGAUACACAGUAAGUCGCCAAGCGAAAGCGUUAAGUAUUCCACCUGGGGAGUACGCCGGCAACGGUGAAACUCAAAUGAAUUGACGG